CAGAGGUCCCAAGCGUUGUUCGGAUUCACUGGGCGUAAAGGGUGCGUAGGUGGCUGGAUAAGUUUGAUGUGAAAGCUCAGGGCUUAACCCUGAAAUGGCAUUGAAUACUAUUUGGCUGGAGGUUUGGAGGGGGACUGGAAUUCUCGGUGUAGCAGUGAAAUGCGUAGAUAUCGAGAGGAACACCAGUGGCGAAGGCGAGUCCCUGGACAACACCUGACACUGAGGCACGAAAGCUAGGGAGCAAACAGGAUU
RNAcentral lists this ribosomal RNA (252 nucleotides) under uncultured bacterium. RNAcentral describes it as "partial 16S ribosomal RNA". It matches the Rfam family "Bacterial small subunit ribosomal RNA", at positions 526 to 779 of the family's 1533-position model. The record is from RNAcentral.